RNAcentral lists this ribosomal RNA (721 nucleotides) under uncultured bacterium. Its description in RNAcentral is "bacterial SSU rRNA". It matches the Rfam family "Bacterial small subunit ribosomal RNA", at positions 118 to 834 of the family's 1533-position model. The record is from RNAcentral.
UAGGAAUCUGCCUGGUAGUGGGGGAUAACGUCCGGAAACGGGCGCUAAUACCGCAUACGUCCUGAGGGAGAAAGUGGGGGAUCUUUGGACCUCACGCUAAUAGAUGAGCCUAAGUCGGAUUAGCUAGUUGGUGGGGUAAAGGCCUACCAAGGCGACGAUCUGUAGCGGGUCUGAGAGGAUGAUCCGCCACACUGGGACUGAGACACGGCCCAGACUCCUACGGGAGGCAGCAGUGGGGAAUAUUGGACAAUGGGGGGAACCCUGAUCCAGCCAUGCCGCGUGUGUGAAGAAGGCCUUAUGGUUGUAAAGCACUUUAAGCGAGGAGGAGGCUCUUUUGGUUAAUACCCAAGAUGAGUGGACGUUACUCGCAGAAUAAGCACCGGCUAACUCUGUGCCAGCAGCCGCGGUAAUACAGAGGGUGCAAGCGUUAAUCGGAUUUACUGGGCGUAAAGCGCGCGUAGGCGGCCAAUUAAGUCAAAUGUGAAAUCCCCGAGCUUAACUUGGGAAUUGCAUUCGAUACUGGUUGGCUAGAGUGUGGGAGAGGAUGGUAGAAUUCCAGGUGUAGCGGUGAAAUGCGUAGAGAUCUGGAGGAAUACCGAUGGCGAAGGCAGCCAUCUGGCCUAACACUGACGCUGAGGUGCGAAAGCAUGGGGAGCAAACAGGAUUAGAUACCCUGGUAGUCCAUGCCGUAAACGAUGUCUACUAGCCGUUGGGGCCUUUG